This is a non-coding RNA of Taeniopygia guttata (zebra finch), 2702 nucleotides long. The record is from RefSeq and is a predicted model, not a curated record. Lineage: Eukaryota; Metazoa; Chordata; Aves; Passeriformes; Estrildidae.
UAUGUGGGGGGUAGGGUAUGGAGGAAAGGGAGCUUUUUCUUUUUUAGGAGUUUUUUUUUAUACAUAACUGGAAUGUGAAACUCCUGCUUUGUCCCUCAUUUUCUAUUUUAUAGGGGGAUGCUUGCUGUAAGCCUUUAGCAGCUUGGCAGACCUAGAUUUGAAGUAAAAGAAAGAAAAUUUGUCUCUGCAUCUUCAGAAACUGUGAAUUAUUUAUUUGCUAUUCCUGGUAAAUCUGCUGUUGCAAAACCUCACUGCGAAAUGAGCAUUUCUUUGUUUCAUUGGACUGUGGGAUCACUCCCUGAAGAUUCAUCAGCCCUGCUGCUGUAAGAAGCUGUCCUCAAAGCUUUUUUUAUUGUUAUUAUUUGGUAAUGCUUGAGAUUAUUUUUGCUUCACCGUCAUUUAUUCUCCUGUUCAUUUUAAAAACUAGGUAAUUGCAUGAAGUAAUCUGAAAUUUAAGAUCUCCUCCUGAGAUUUUUUUUUUUGUGCCUGCAUCCGAUCUUCUGUCACAUAGGUUAACUCCACAACACUGUUGCCCAAAUUCAGCAUCAAUUUCAACAAGUAAAUAUUUAUACAGCAUCCAAGAUGCAGUCUGUACACAGAAUGACACCAAAUUAAGUUAAAUUGAUACUAACUACUCUAGGAUUGAAGAGUGUCCGGACAAAAGGUGUUACCAAUUUAACCAAAUCUAUUUCAAAACCUGGAAUAAUUCACUGUGAAGGGCAAAUUUCACCUUUCGGAUGUCUUGAAUGCCUUUGGACCAAAUCCCACUGUUUUCACUCCACACAGGACUACCUAUUGAGAUAGUGUAAGGUCAUAUUAUGUCUUUUCUCACUGUUCUUUCAGGGCCAUGUGUUCCCCCUGGGUUUUAGGAAGAUUUAACAAAUAUUUGUUUUUAACAGCCUUUUUCUUCAGUGUAAAACCACUGUUGAAGACCACUGUACAUUAUCUUAGUCUCUUGCCCACCUUAAUCAGGCAAAUGCUGCAGGUUUUGUUCUGAACUAGGUCAGAUGCACCAGUUUUGCACUAUAUAUAUUCAGGGUGGGCACAAAGUGUCCCUUGGACCAUAUGGUCUGCAGCCCUGGGUUUUGUUGGCUCACAGUCUUUCUAAUUCCUCCUAAUCUGCUCAUAAGCACCUCCAAAAGGGUUCUUCACACACCUCACCAGUAAUCUCUAUCAAUGUCUGGUUGCUCUUUCAAUCUAAUGCCAGAUGGUAUUAAUAUACCCAUCACUGUAAUUAUCCAGACAAGCAAACAGUGGCAGGAGCAAUCCCAACUUCUCACUUUUCCCACUGAUUCAGAGGCAUACUUGAAAGAGCCCUUUCAUCCCCAUGGAUCCUGUUCCCUGGAGUUGUCCCAGGCUGUCCUCAUCAAAAGGGAAUUUGAUGUUUCAGCAGUUUCUCAGCCAGUUUCAUGCUGGGAAAGACUCAGUGGUGAUGGGGCAGUAUCAUUCAUUCUCCCUCCAACUGUUGCCCAGACACUUGGUACAUGGCCAGGUGUCAGUCCCACAUCAGGUCCUCCUUUAAAACCUUUCACAAGACCGAGAUCUAUGUGUGAAAUGGAAAUUCUGCUGAUGCCUUGUAGCUUGAAAGCUAGCCUGCCUUUUGUCUGGCUCCCAGAUUUGCUGCAGUGGACAGCCUGGACAGAAGGUUUCUGAUGCCAUGUGUUGGGAAGGAGGUACUCCUGAAAGCUUCCUGCACCCAGCAAGUUCUGUGCAAAUACCUCCUGCCAAGUCCAUCUAAAUGCUAUGUGGCAUUUGGAGAAAGUUUAUUUAGCUUGAGCCGACAGCAAAAUGAAACUGUAAGGAAUUAUUUUGAAAUUAUCUUGAAAUUAUCUUGUAAAUUGGGUCCCUUGAGUAUCGAGAUCUUUGCUCAAGCCUUUAAAGGCUGCCCAGUUUACCACACACCCAAAGAGCUUUGGGCAAUGUGUGUAUUCAAGGAGGCAAGAUCUGUAAGUAGAGAUAAAUGCAAGAUCAGUUUGAUAGCUGGAAAAAACAGAACACGUUUGAACACCUCAGCCUUUCCAAGACCCAUCUCCUAUUAAGGAGUAAGAUGUUACACUUGCACCAAGCGUAUUUGGUUUUAGGAAUGAGCAGCAGUGAUGCCAUAAUGACAAGAAGGAAGACUUUGAUGCCCACAUCACAAAGAAUAUGCAAACUUGUAUUAUUCCUUUGAUUAGCUGCUCUCUGAUAUGUCAAGUCCAUGAAUAAUCAAGCUUCAUUUUCUAAUUAGUUUACUCAUCACCCCACUGCUCCAUGCCUUCACUCAUUUGCAUACCCUGUACUAGAUAAGGGCCUUAUUCUAUGAGGUGCUAGCAGGGCUUCCACCUCUCUCCCACCACAGCAUUUCUUUGGUCCUUUCCCAGGAAGCAGAAUGGUGUCUUCCACGCUGUGAAGUCUCCUGGUGAUACCUUAUGACUCCAUAAUCUGGUUUCAGCCAGCCCCAAAGGAGAAGUACAAUAAUCAAAGUUGAUGGUUUGCACAUGUUAUGGAAGUGGUGGAGGAGAGGGGAUAAGGCAGCUGGGGAUAAGGCUGGAGCAUCCACUUCAUCACUUUGAGGAGAAAUGAUGGGAAAAGUGGUUUUGAAUGCCGUGGCCACAAAUCUGUUCAGCCAUCAGACAAGGCAGGCAAUUCCAUAAAGGAAAGCCGCAGCAGUUGGGCUGUUGAUGAUUAUGUUUGUCACUUUAAUAAAUAUGUUAUUUUCAUGA